Molecule: ribosomal RNA, 1264 nt
Filed under: Neobacillus bataviensis
Lineage: Bacteria; Bacillati; Bacillota; Bacilli; Caryophanales; Bacillaceae
Description: bacterial SSU rRNA
Rfam family: Bacterial small subunit ribosomal RNA
Source: RNAcentral
UGCCUGUAAGACUGGGAUAACUCCGGGAAACCGGGGCUAAUACCGGAUAAUAUCCCUUUAUACAUAUAAUUAGAUUGAAAUGAUGGUUCUGCUAUCACUUACAGAUGGGCCCGCGGCGCAUUAUGCUAGUUGGUGAGGUAACGGCUCACCAAGGCGACGAUGCGUAGUCCGACCUGAGAGGGUGAUCGGCCACACUGGGACUGAGUACACGGCCCAGUACUCCUACGGGGAGGCAGCAGUAGAGGAAUCUUCCGCAAUGGUACAGUAAAGUCUGACGGAGCAACUCCGCGUGAGUGAUGAAGGUUUUUCGGAUCGUAAAACUCUGUUGUUAGGGAAGAACAAGUAUCGGAGUAACUGCCGGUACCUUGACGGUACCUAACCAGAAAGCCACGGCUAACUACGUCCCAGCAGCCGCGGUAAUACGUAGGUGGCAAGCGUUGUCCGGAAUUAUUGGGCGUAAAGCGCGCCGCAGGCGGUUCCUUAAGUUUGAUGUGAAAGCCCCCCGGGUUCAACCCGUGGAGGGUCAUUGGAAACUGGGGGAACUUGAGUGCAGAAGAGGAAAGUGGAAUUCCAAGUGUAGCGGUGAAAUGCGUAGAGAUUUGGAGGAACACCAGUGGCGAAGGCGACUUUCUGGUCUGUAACUGACGCUGAGGCGCGAAAGCGUGGGGAGCAAACAGGAUUAGAUACCCUGGUAGUCCACGCCGUAAACGAUGAGUGCUAAGUGUUAGAGGGUUUCCGCCCUUUAGUGCUGCAGCAAACGCAUUAAGCACUCCGCCUGGGGAGUACGACCGCAAGGUUGAAACUCAAAGGAAUUGACGGGGGCCCGCACAAGCGGUGGAGCAUGUGGUUUAAUUCGAAGCAACGCGAAGAACCUUACCAGGUCUUGACAUCCUCUGACAAUCCUAGAGAUAGGACUUUCCCCUUCGGGGACAGAGUGACAGGUGGUGCAUGGUGUCGUCAGCUCGUGUCGUGAGAUGUUGGGUUAAGUCCCGCAACGAGCGCAACCCUUGAUCUUAGUUGCCAGCAUUUAGUUGGGCACUCUAAGGUGACUGCCGGUGACAAACCGGAGGAAGGUGGGGAUGACGUCAAAUCAUCAUGCCCUCUUAUGACUCUGGGCUACACACGUGCUACAAUGGAUGGUACAAAGGGCUGCAAGACCGCGAGGUUUAGCCAAUCCCAUAAAACCAUUCUCAGUUCGGAUUGUAGGCUGCAACUCGCCUACAUGAAGCCGGAAUCGCUAGUAAUGCGGAUCAAGCAUGCCGCG